Molecule: long non-coding RNA, 785 nt
Organism: Hordeum vulgare subsp. vulgare (domesticated barley)
Lineage: Eukaryota; Viridiplantae; Streptophyta; Magnoliopsida; Poales; Poaceae
Exons: 2
Source: RefSeq, a predicted model, not a curated record
UGAGGAAAGAGGGGGCAGCGUGCGAGGCGAAGGUCGACAAAAGAAAGAAGGAGAGAGUGGAAGCGGUGGCGCGGAGAGCUUGCGUGGCGAGCAGCAGAACGGAGCACCGGCCGAUCUGCGCAGCGACGUGAAGACAGUCACUAGCUAUAGCUUCAUCGCCGUGUGUGAGAACUUGUUCUGGCAAGAUAGCCUCCGGCUAGCUCUUCGCAAACAAGUCACCGGCACAGGAGCGUAAUUAGUAGAGACGUGAAGACUGUCGCUUGAGGAUGGCUGUUUUUUUUUCACUUUUGUCAGUUCUUGGUUUCCCCCCUCUUUAUCUACUUGUGUUCUUUUCCGUUCUGCUAUUCAUCCACCCCACAUACAUAUUUCGGCCUUUUGUGACUACUAGUAACAUCGCACGUGCAACACACGUGUAAUGGAAUGAAUUUUUUCAUUCAUCAGGUUGCCAACUGAUUUAUAUGGGAUGAAAACAAUGAAUAUCUAGAACCUCAUUGUAUGACACAUGCAUGUGCUCAUUCUUAGUUGAGGUAAUCAUCUUUCUUUCAGCAAAUACACAAGUAAUAUGUUAAGCCUAGCUAGAAAUGAGAUCAAGAAAGUUGAAAAACAUGAAACCCAUGAUAGGAUCAGAGAAUAGAAAAGCAGAGAUGAACUAGUCAUGAUAGAAGAGCAACAUCAAGACGGAUUGCUGGAUGAUGUAGAACUUGAUUUAAUACUCUCUUCACAUCAUGCAAAGCACGUAUCAAUGUAAAGUUAAAUAGAAUACAGUUUGGUGAAGUUUUGAAAAA